This 422-nucleotide ribosomal RNA is filed under the name uncultured eukaryote. RNAcentral's name for it is "SSU rRNA". It matches the Rfam family "Eukaryotic small subunit ribosomal RNA", at positions 567 to 990 of the family's 1831-position model. The record is from RNAcentral.
CCAGCAGCCGCGGUAAUUCCAGCUCCAAUAGCGUAUAUUAAAGUUGUUGUAGUUAAAAAGCUCGUAGUUGAAUAUCUGGUGGGAGCAGUCAGUCUGAUACUUUGUAUCAGAAUUUGUAUUGUCUCUGACCAUCCUUGGGGGGAGCCUGUCUGGCAUUAGGUUGUCGGGCAGGGGACCACCAUCUUUUACUGUGAAGAAAUUAGAGUGUUCAAAGCAGGCUUACGCUGUUGAAUAUAUUAGCAUGGAAUAAUAAUAUAGGACCUUGGGACUAUUUUGUUGGUUUGUGUGCCAUGGUAAUGAUUGAUAGGGACAGUUGUGGGUAUUUGUAUUCCAAUGUCAGAGGUGAAAUUCUUGGAUUUCUGGAAGACAAACUACUGCGAAAGCAUUUACCAAGGAUGUUUUCAUCAAUCAAGAACGAAAGU